UAAUAAAAAAAUAACCAUAAACGAACGAUAACCCAAAUCAUUGAACUAUUCCACAAAUGGUUUGGAUGAUACCCAGAACACGUCGUUAAGCAAAUUAACCAUACAAUUUUUAUUAGGGAAGCGGUGCAUUUUGACGGUUCGAUUGGAACAACUUUUGACAGACGUCCAUACUUUUACUGUAGGGCUUUACACACGAAUUGCCGGCGACAAAGUGACGUCAUUUGACAUUGGGCGACUUAAAGACUGACGUUUUUAAAUUGGUGUAUUUUUUUUUGUCGUGCGCUCAGCCAUCUUGUCUGGUUUGUUUAUAAACAAACUAGACAAGAUGGCUGAGUGCACGGAGCGCACCGCAAAUUCCUUCACCCGAGCCGCGAAGGAAAUUAGCAACUUUAACACCGGCUGCUUCCAAUAAUUCCGGAGGUGUUCGGAAAUUGAAUAGAGGUAAGCUGAGCCGGCUGCUUCCAAUAAUUCCGGAUUAAGGGACGGGUACGGAAAUUGAAUAGAGCCGGCUGCUUCCAAUAAUUCCGGAGGUGUUCGGGAAUAGAGUGGCAACCACUUACGCCAGGGAGGCAAUUGAACACCUAGACCUGGACUCAUCAACUCAAGGGCCAGGAUCCACGGCUGUGCUUCUUUUCGAAGGAAGGCAUGACACCACCAAAGCAACCAAGGAAGUCAUCAAUCACCACCAACUGACGAGUUUCGUUUGUGGUUCGACACAUGGACGGAGCAUUUGUGUUUUGCUAAAUUUUGCUAAUUAUUGGGGAAUUUCCCUAAACUUUCACGCGGCCACCAGUUUUCACUCUUCCACAGGCCUUAAGGGUAACCCACAUUAGAUCUGCUUGCGUUGCGUUGUCGUAAAUUUUAUAGUUAGACAAUAUAUUUAGCUGUCACUUUGCUGCAUCGCGCCAGAUCCGGAUCUAAUGUGGGUGGCCCUGUAGAUUUGGAAACUUGAUUAUGUAAACACUAGGCAUCUUUUUCUGGUAGUUCGUUCAAAAAUGAUACAACAAUCGUCAAGCUCGCUGUAACGUCACCUAGUGCCUCGUCACCUACAAAUUGGCGCCUAAGUCAGUGGUCUAAUAACUCUUAGCGCGCUAAUGGCAUAGUUCCCCUGCCGCAUAGAGAGUUGCCACAAUGACAUUAGGUUAGCUAAGGUCAGUUAACUGACUGGUGGGAAACGGGAGCUUACGCAAUGACUAUUCUGUAUGCAUUUAAGAGAUAGUCUACCAGAAUGGAUGAUUUUUUUUGUACAAUUUUAUGUUUUCUGAUUGUGCAAAACAUGAGAAUUAACUUUUCCAAUGCUUUCAAUUGUACAAAGCAUUAGUGCUAGAAACAUGAUCUUGUAAACACUACACACCUUAACUGUUAGUUUGAUUAAAAAAUGCUGCAACAAUCGUCAAGCUCGCUGUAAUGUCACCAAGUGCCUCGUCACCUACAAAUUGGCGCCUAUGUCAGUGGUCUAAUAACUCUUAGCGCGCUAAUGGCAUAGUUCCCCUGCCGCAUAGAGAGUUGCCGCAAUGACAUUAGGUUAGCUAAGGUCAGUUAACUGACUGGUGGGAAACGGGAGCUUCAGCAUUGACAGUUAUGUACGCAUUUUUAUGAUGUUAUCUAACAACAAUGGUGUGUAGUGUUUACACGAUUAUGUUACUAAUUCUAAUGUGUUGUAAAUAUAAUUGAAAGCAUUUGAAAAGUAAGAUUCUAGUGUUUGUACUUCUUAAAACAUAAGUAAACAUCUACAUUUUAAAACAUUCAAACAACGUUUACUUUAAACGUUUUGUACAUCUGAAAACAUCAGAGAACAACAAACAGGAAGUACAAUUGAAAACAUCCGAACAACGUUUAGUUCUAACGUUGUGUACAUCCGAAAACAUCCAAAAAACGUUUGGUUCUAGCAUCGGGAAACAUCUACAUAAGAAAACAUUAGAAUACAUUUACAUAUAAAAACAUCCGAACAACGUUUAGUUCUAACGUUUUUUACAUCCGAAAACAUCCAAAAACGUUUGGUUCUAACAUCAGGAAACUUCUACAUUAAAAAACAUCAGAAAACAUUUACAUAUAAAAACAUUUAAACAACGUUUAGUUCUAACGUUUUUUACAUCCGAGAACAUCCGAAAACGUUUGGUUCUAACAUCGGGAAACAUCUACAUUAGAAAACAUCAGAAAACGUUUACAUAUAAAAACAUCCGAACAACGUUUAGUUCUAACGUAAUGUACAUCAGAAAACAUCCUUAAAACGUUUGGUUCUAAUGUCAAGAGAUUGAAAUUUUUGACGUCAGACCGACAUUAGAAUGGCAAAAUUUUGUUCCAAAAUUUCUGAUGUAUACACCAUGUUACGUUGCUUAAAUACAACUAAAUCAUAA
This is a long non-coding RNA of Ochlerotatus camptorhynchus, 2357 nucleotides long. RefSeq lists it as uncharacterized. The transcript is spliced from 5 exons. Lineage: Eukaryota; Metazoa; Arthropoda; Insecta; Diptera; Culicidae. The record is from RefSeq and is a predicted model, not a curated record.